CAGAGGUGCCAAGCGUUAGGCGGAAUCACUGGGCUUAAAGCGUGUGUAGGCGGAUCGUUAAGUACCUUGUGAAAUCCCACGGCUCAACCGUGGAACUGCUGGGUAUACUGGCGGUCUUGAGCCACCUAGGGGCGAGCGGAACAAACGGUGGAGCGGUGAAAUGCGUAGAUAUCGUUUGGAACGCCAACGGUGAAAACAGCUCGCUGGGGGUGUGCUGACGCUGAGACACGAAAGCCAGGGGAGCGAACGGGAUUAGAUACCCCGGUAGUCCUGGCCCUAAACGAUGUCGACUAGAUCGUAGUGCCUCUGACGGUAUUACGGUCGAAGCAAAAGUGCUAAGUCGACCGCCUGGGAAGCACGGUCGCAAGGCUA
This 372-nucleotide ribosomal RNA is filed under the name uncultured organism. Its description in RNAcentral is "bacterial SSU rRNA". It matches the Rfam family "Bacterial small subunit ribosomal RNA", at positions 526 to 896 of the family's 1533-position model. The record is from RNAcentral.